Molecule: ribosomal RNA, 468 nt
Filed under: uncultured bacterium
Lineage: Bacteria
Description: partial 16S ribosomal RNA
Rfam family: Bacterial small subunit ribosomal RNA
Source: RNAcentral
GACGAACGCUGGCGGCGUGCUUAACACAUGCAAGUCGAACGGAAAGGCCCUGCUUUUGUGGGGUGCUCGAGUGGCGAACGGGUGAGUAACACGUGAGUAACCUGCCCUUGACUUUGGGAUAACUUCAGGAAACUGGGGCUACUACCGGAUAGGAGCUCCUGCUGCAUGGGGGGGGUUGGAAAGUUUCGGCGGUUGGGGAUGGACUCGCGGCUUAUCAGCUUGUUGGUGGGGUAGUGGCUUACCAAGGCUUUGGCGGGUAGCCGGCCUGAGAGGGUGGCCGGGCACAUUGGGACUGAGGUACGGCCCAGACUCCUACGGGAGGCAGCAGGGGGGAAUAUUGCACAAUGGGCGGGAGCCUGAUGCGGCAGCGCCGCGUGCGGGAUGACGGCCUUCGGGUUAUAAACCGCUUUCGCCUGUGACGAAGCGUGAGUGACGGUAAUGGGUAAAGAAGCACCGGCUAACUACGUG